This is a long non-coding RNA of Papaver somniferum (opium poppy), 407 nucleotides long. RefSeq lists it as uncharacterized. The record is from RefSeq and is a predicted model, not a curated record. Lineage: Eukaryota; Viridiplantae; Streptophyta; Magnoliopsida; Ranunculales; Papaveraceae. The transcript has 3 exons.
GUCUGAAGGACCAGUUAAAACUGCAGUCAGCUGCAAAUGAUGACACAAAACAAAAGGUUUAGCUGCAUCCUGUAUGUAGCCUACUUCGUUCUUAUACACUGUACCUGGGAAAAUGAUGAUGAUCAACUGAAUAGAGGAAUGAGCAAGUGGUGAAUUCACGACUUUUGUCAUUGGGAGAGAGUCGUUGGAGCUAUUGCUCAGUGGAGGCCAUCUCAGGUCAAUUGCUCGGAUUCGAGACUAGGGGGAGAGCUAUAGUGUUCUCUACAGUAUUCUCUACAGUGGUCUGUAACUUUACUUCUCCGGGAAGAUGUAUUUCCCUUAGACGCAAGUAAGGUGUAUCUAAUCCUAAAUGGGGACAAAGGAGCUAAUUCAAGUAUUUGGACUAUUGAUCAAAAAAUAAUCAUUGC